UGUUUCUUCUAUAGUGAAUAUUUCACCAUGGAGUUAGUUUCCGAAGUGAUCCUGUCGAGGAAUGGAAUUAUAUUAUUUCAGAGAGGGAGUAAGAUCAAAGACCACGGGGAGAAA
Molecule: long non-coding RNA, 114 nt
Organism: Polistes canadensis
Lineage: Eukaryota; Metazoa; Arthropoda; Insecta; Hymenoptera; Vespidae
Exons: 3
Source: RefSeq, a predicted model, not a curated record